GAUGAAGAACGCAGCAAAAUGCGAUAAGUAAUGUGAAUUGCAGAAUUCCGUGAAUCAUCGAAUCUUUGAACGCACAUUGCGCCCCCUGGUAUUCCGGGGGGCAUGCCUGUCCGAGCGUCAUUGCAACCUUCAAGCGCGGCUUGUGUGUUGGGUCUCGUCCCCCGUGGACGGGCCCGAAAGGCAGUGGCGGCGUCCCGACAUGGUGCCCGAGCGUAUGGGAAUCCUCUUCCGCUCGAAUCGGCCCAUGCGGCGCUGGUCGUAACCAAAUUUUUUACCGGUUGACCUCGGAUCAGGUAGGGAUACCCGCUGAACUUAAGCAUAUCAAUAAGCGGAGGA
This 336-nucleotide unclassified non-coding RNA is filed under the name soil metagenome. RNAcentral describes it as "partial contains 5.8S ribosomal RNA, internal transcribed spacer 2, and large subunit ribosomal RNA". The stretch from base 1 to 120 matches the Rfam family "5.8S ribosomal RNA", at positions 35 to 154 of the family's 154-position model. The record is from RNAcentral.